ACGCUGGCGGCACGCCUAACACAUGCAAGUCGAACGAAGUAGCAAUACUUAGUGGCAGACGGGUGAGUAACAUGUAGGUAUCUGCCCUAUGGCCUGGAAUAACACGAGGAAACUUGCGCUAAUACCGGAUAAGUCUUUACGGAGAAAGCUUUAUGCACCAUUGGAUGAGCCUGCACUUGAUUAGUUUGUUGGUGGGGUAAUGGCCUACCAAGACUGUGAUCAAUAGCUGAUUUGAGAGGAUGAUCAGCCACAUUGGGACUGAGACACGGCCCAAACUCCUACGGGAGGCAGCAGUGGGGAAUCUUGCACAAUGGAGGAAACUCUGAUGCAGCGAUGCCGCGUGAGUGAAGAAGGCCUUUGGGUUGUAAAGCUCUUUCGUCGGGGAAGAAAAUGACUGUACCCGAAUAAGAAGGUCCGGCUAACUUCGUGCCAGCAGCCGCGGUAAUACGAAGGGACCUAGCGUAGUUCGGAAUUACUGGGCUUAAAGAGUUCGUAGGUGGUUGAAAAAGUUGGUGGUGAAAUCCCAGAGCUUAACUCUGGAACUGCCAUCAAAACUUUUCAGCUAGAGUAUGAUAGAGGAAAGCAGAAUUUCUAGUGUAGAGGUGAAAUUCGUAGAUAUUAGAAAGAAUACCAAUUGCGAAGGCAGCUUUCUGGAUCAUUACUGACACUGAGGAACGAAAGCAUGGGUAGCGAAGAGGAUUAGAUACCCUCGUAGUCCAUGCCGUAAACGAUGUGUGUUAGACGUUGGAAAUUUAUUUUCAGUGUCGCAGCGAAAGCGAUAAACACACCGCCUGGGGAGUACGACCGCAAGGUUAAAACUCAAAUGAAUUGACGGGGACCCGCACAAGUAGUGGAGCAUGUGGUUUAAUUCGAAGAUACGCGCAGAACCUUACCAACACUUGACAUGUUCGUCGCGACUUUAAGAGAUUAAAGUUUUCGGUUCGGCCGGACGAAACACAGGUGCUGCAUGGCUGUCGUCAGCUCGUGUCGUGAGAUGUUGGGUUAAGUCCCGCAACGAGCGCAACCCUCACUUUUAGUUGCCAUCAUUAAGUUGGGCACUCUGAAAGAACUGCCAGUGAUAAGCUGGAGGAAGGUGGGGAUGACGUCAAGUCCUCAUGGCCCUUACGUGUUGGGCUACACACGUGCUACAAUGGUAUCUACAACAGGAAGCAAGACGGCGACGUUUAGCAAAUCCUUAAAAGAUACCUCAGUUCGGAUUGCACUCUGCAACUCGAGUGCAUGAAGCUGGAAUUACUAGUAAUCGUGGAUCAGCGUGCCACGGUGAAUGCGUUCCCGGGUCUUGUACACACCGCCCGUCACACCAUGGGAGUUGGUUCUACCUUAAGGCAAGGUUUCAAACCCUUGACCACGGUAUAGUCAGCGACUG
This 1387-nucleotide ribosomal RNA is filed under the name uncultured marine bacterium. RNAcentral's name for it is "16S ribosomal RNA". It matches the Rfam family "Bacterial small subunit ribosomal RNA". The record is from RNAcentral.